UCAUCGGUGAAAAGAGGGAAUUCCGGAAGGAAGAGUUGUUGAGUAAAGCCGUAUCAGCGUAACGUGUUUAACGACGUCGUGGUGGUAAAAUCUUGGCACGAUCUUGGGGCACACCUCGAGAGGGGAGGGAAAAAAAAAAGGGCCCCCGUUACUUGUGAAAUACGCGUGUUCCUCAUCGCCAUUGUGCGUCGACUUGCUAUCAACCGGUCUGAUAUUUAUCGUCGUAUACCUCGUGUCGGCGGUUAUUCAAUUCAACGGUGCAGGGGAACACGUGCAACGUUUAAUUACCAUCCUACGCGCUCUUAUUGUUGGAAACGUGGUGUCAACGAGGCUGAAACGAUUGAAUGACUUGUCAAUACGGGGAGAAUUAAAUCGGCGGACUUUCCUUUACUCGUACAUUAUCUUCGAAAGGCAGUCGUUUACCGAACGAAGACGUCACUCGAGUUGGACGCGUGCGGGAACGAAUAUUCUCGCGCGGACAGACGGUUUUCCCUGUUGCACGAGACGUACGAUAAUAGCACACGCAUCUCGCGUUAUUCUGGUAGCGAAACUGUGUCGUGUCUCGACGUGUCGUUACAACUGGAAAGUCACGAGUUUCAGGACACUCGAUGAAUGUGAAACUGCUUUGUAUAGAAUCUGUUAUAUAGGGGAUAUUGUACGUACAAGUUUUCAACGUUCUGCAUUUGCACAAUUAUGAAGUGAUAUUAUAUACAUGUCGAUUCAUUGAUAAAAUCUUGUUAAUUCAUUGAUAUUAUUAUUAUUAUUAUUAUGCGAUAAAAGUAAUUUGUAAUUUUGUAAUAUAAGGAUAUAUGAUAAAAACGUUUCUAUAAAAGAUUUAAAUUAUAAAUAAUCUGAUUGAUUUAAAAAAAAAAAAAAAUGUCAGACUAUUAU
Apis cerana (Asiatic honeybee) is the source of this 891-nucleotide long non-coding RNA. RefSeq lists it as uncharacterized. Lineage: Eukaryota; Metazoa; Arthropoda; Insecta; Hymenoptera; Apidae. The record is from RefSeq and is a predicted model, not a curated record.